Molecule: long non-coding RNA, 1368 nt
Filed under: Homo sapiens (human)
Lineage: Eukaryota; Metazoa; Chordata; Mammalia; Primates; Hominidae
Description: HSALNT0088770
Source: RNAcentral
UUGUUUUGAAAGAUACAUGUUUUUCUAAACAUCCAUUGCUCUUCAGUGGGUUUUUUUUUAAUAGACUUUUUUUAAAGAAUUUGAGGUUCAUAGAAAAAUUCAUCAGAAAGUAGAGUUUCCACAUACCCUCUUCCACUCCUCACAGUUUCUCUUGUUAUUUACGUCUUGUUUUUUAUUUUAUUUUUAUUUUUAUUUAUUUAUUUAUUUAUUUAUUUUUUGAAAGAGUCCAGCUCUAUGCAGUGGCAUGAUCUUGAUCUAGGCUCACUGUAACCUCCACCUCCCAGGUUCAAGCAAUUUUGGUGCAUCAGCCUCCCAAGCUGCUGGGAUUACAGGUGCAUGCCACCACGCUUGGUUAAUUUUUUUAUUUUUAGUAGAGAUGGGGUUUCACCAUAUUGGCCAGGCUGGUCUUCAGCUCCUGACCUCAAGCGAUCUGCCCACCUUAUCCUCCCAAAGUGCUGUCCUUACAGGCGUGAGCCACUGUGCCUGGCCUACAUCUUGUUUUAAUGUGGUACAUUUACUACAAUUGAUGAAAUGAUAUUGACACUGAUUACUAACUAAUGUCUAUAAUUUACAUUAGAAUUCACACUUUUUGUUGUAUGUUUUAUUGUUUUUGGUUUUUGGUUUGUUUUGUUUUAAGAGACAGGUCUCAUUAAUGUUGCCCAGGCUGAAGUCAAAUUUCUGGACUCAAACGAUCUCCCAAGUAUCUGGGACUAUAGUCAAGCACUGUAGGUUUUGACAAAUAUAUAACAUGUAUCCACCAUUACUAUAUUAUGCAAAAUAGUUUCACUUUCCAAAAACUCUCCUGUGCUCCAUCUUCAUCCCUCCAUUACAUAAAAAUAAAGAUCCUAGCCCUUUUAAUUUCAUGUUUUACUAUUCAAAGCAUUUGGUCUUUUAAGUCUCAUAAAAAUCCAGUGAGGUAAAUAUGAAUCCUAUCAUUGCUAUCCUGCAAAUAAUAAAAUGGAGGAAUGUGAAGGAAUGGUAGAGAAGUUAAAAAGAGUAAGGGUGAAUGUGGGUUUAAAAAAAGAAAUACUCUCUCAACAUCAAAAGAAAAGGACAUAGGAAUAGAUGGUUUAAUACUUUGUGAAAAGGAAAUACAUACACCUUUCCACAGCUAAUUUAAAAGAGGAAGAAUAAAUGUAAAGUUGACAAUAAUACAGAUAAGAAAGUAAUAGGCUGGGUGUGGUGGCUCAUGCCUGUAAUCCUAACCCUUUGGAAGGCUGAGGCCAGAGGAUUGCUUGAAGCUAUGAGUUCUAGACCAACCUGGGCAACUUGGCAUUUUUUUUAUUUAGCUGGGCAUGGUGGUACACUCCUGCAUUCCUAGCUCCUUGGGAGAGAGGCAGGAAAAUCGCUUGAGUCCACAAGUUCAAG